This is a non-coding RNA of Acanthosepion pharaonis, 111 nucleotides long. The record is from the annotation of a GenBank genome assembly. NCBI's taxonomy places the organism in Eukaryota, Metazoa, Mollusca, Cephalopoda, Sepiida, Sepiidae.
AUGGCCACAACAUGUUGAAAAGUCAGUUCCCAUAUGAUCACUAAAGUUAAGCAACAUUGAGCCUGGUCAGUAUGUAGAGGGAUGACCACUUGGGAAAACUAGGUGUUGUAA